AUUGAACGCUGGCGGCAUGCUUUACACAUGCAAGUCGAACGGCAGCACGGGUGCUUGCACCUGGUGGCGAGUGGCGGACGGGUGAGUAAUACAUCGGAACGUGUCCUGAAGUGGGGGAUAACGCAUCGAAAGAUGUGCUAAUACCGCAUAUACUCUGAGGAGGAAAGUAGGGGAUCGAAAGACCUUAUGCUUUUGGAGCGGCCGAUGUCUGAUUAGCUAGUUGGUAGGGUAAUGGCUUACCAAGGCAACGAUCAGUAGUUGGUCUGAGAGGACGGCCAGCCACACUGGGACUGAGACACGGCCCAGACUCCUACGGGAGGCAGCAGUGGGGAAUUUUGGACAAUGGGCGCAAGCCUGAUCCAGCCAUGCCGCGUGAGUGAAGAA
This 384-nucleotide ribosomal RNA is filed under the name uncultured bacterium. RNAcentral describes it as "bacterial SSU rRNA". It matches the Rfam family "Bacterial small subunit ribosomal RNA", at positions 30 to 412 of the family's 1533-position model. The record is from RNAcentral.